Molecule: non-coding RNA, 3230 nt
Organism: Arachis ipaensis
Lineage: Eukaryota; Viridiplantae; Streptophyta; Magnoliopsida; Fabales; Fabaceae
Source: RefSeq, a predicted model, not a curated record
UCACAUUUAAACCCUACAGCUUCCUGCCCACAUCACACACCAUAAACAUUGCAACGUGAAAAUUGUCGUCCCUCCAGAACCCCGAAGGCGCGAUCCCUCUCAAUUGAAACCAUUUUGACUCCUACCGUUUUCGAACUAGCUUGAUACUAUUCUCACUCUCUCACGUGGAAGCACUCAUCAACUCAGCGCAUUCAAUUUUACCAUACUCUCACGAAUCAUGUUAAGCCCCAAUCGCUUGAUGAAGCUGUUGAUUCCUUCACUCGCAUGCUCUCUAUGCGUCGUACUCCUCCCAUCAUCCAAUUUAACAAGAUUUUGGGAUCCCUUUCCAAGACGAACCAUUUCCACGCUGCCGUUUCCCUUUUUCAGCAAUUGCAAGGCAGAGGAAUCGCUCCCGACUUAUUUACUUUGAGCAUCGUAAUUAAUUGUUGUUGCGGCAUGGGUCGUAUGGCGCUUGCUUUCUCUAUAUUGGCCAAGAUUUUCAGGAUGGGUUUUCAGCCUAAUACCAUAACGUUGAAUACACUCAUUAAAGGUCUCUGUCUCAUUGGUAAUGUUGAAAAAGCACUGCACUUUCAUGACAGAGUGCUGGCUCAUGGAUUUCAGUUUAAUCAAGUCACUUAUGGGACCUUGAUCAAUGGCCUCUGUAAGACCGGACACACAUCAGCUGCUAUUCAAGUGUUGAGAAACAUCCCACGGUAUGGGAUUGUUCCUAAUGUCGUAAUGUACAGCGCAAUUAUUGAUAGUCUGUGCAAGGAUACACUUGUAAGCGAUGCUUUUCAUUUAUAUUCUGAAAUGCUUGCUAAGGGAAUUUAUCCUAAUGUUAUCACAUACAGUUCUCUCAUUUUUGGAUUGUGUCUUGUGGGUCAAUUUAAGGAAGCCAUUGAUUUGCUAAGUGAUAUGGUGCUUAAAAACGUUACUCCCAAUGUUUAUACUUACAAUACUUUGAUUGAUGGGCUAUGCAAGGAAGGAAAGAUCAAAGAUGCUAAGAGUGUAUUGGCUGUAAUGGCAAAAUCUGGUGUAAAACCAGAUGUAGUUACUUAUACCAGCUUAAUGGAUGGAUAUUGUUUGGUUAAUCAGGUGAAUAAGGCAAAAUAUGUAUUCAACACAAUGGCACAAAGUAGAGUGUCACUUGAUGCUCAAAGUUACACUAUCAUGAUUAAUGGCUUGUGCAAAAGUAAAAUGGUCGAUGAAGCCUUGAGUCUCUUUGAAGAAAUGCGUCGUAAGUACUUGGUUCCAAACACUAUAACCUACAGCACUCUUAUUGAUGGCUUGAGCAAAUCAAAGAGAAUCUCUUGUGCUUUGGAGCUUCUUGUCAAGAUGCACGAAAGAGGUCCACCCGCUAAUGUAGUCACUUACAAUUCCUUGUUGGAUGGGAUGUUUAAUAUCAAACAAGUUGACAAGGCACUUAUGUUAUUCAAGCAAAUGAAAGAGAGUGGCAUUGAUCCAGAUAUAUGCACGUACAAUGUACUUAUUGAUGGCCUAUGCAAAGGUGGAAGACUUGUAGUUGCAAAAGAGAUUUUUCAAGAUCUUUCUGUGAAAGGCUAUCCUCCAAAUGUGAGGACAUACACUAUUAUGAUCAAUGGGCUCUGCAGAGAGGGCUUGUUUGAAGAAGCAUUGGCCCUGCUGUCGGAAAUGGAACACAAUGGUUGCUUACCAAAUGCUGUGACUUUUGAAACUGUUAUUCGUGCUUUGUUUGAAAAAGAUGAGAAUGACAUGGCGGAGAAAUUUCUUCGGGAAAUGGUUGCUAGAGGCUUAUUGAAUUGAUAAAAGAAGGAUUUGGGUCCACGAUGGACCACUUACAAGACUAAAAGAGAGAUUUCCCAACAAAACUUGUCUAAAUCAGGAAACAACAUUGAAAGGGAAGGAAAGAGUAAAGUGAAAACUUCUUCUUCAGACAUUUCUAAUCUUCUUCGCAUUCCUCAGUCGAGCAAGCACGCUUGGAACUCUGAUUCACUCCUUCUGGCUCGUUCAAGGACACAAGCCUCAUCGAACUCUUCACCGUCAAACAUGAAUCUGUUGCGAGCCUUCCAUAUCUCCCACAUCAGGGACUCCAAUUUCGGAUCUGAGCCAAGUGGACCAUGACUGAGCACAGCUAAUUAUGCAGUGUUGGACUGUUUCUUCCAUCGCGGUACAUCUUCGACAGGUUGGGGGUAUUGUUCUGAUUCUUCCAUGGAGUUGUUGGUUCACCGGCAAUCCCUUGUGCAUUACUUUCCAGAGGAAGAUUCUUAUUUUCGGUUGCACUUUCAGGUCCCAAAUAGAAGUCCAGAGCUUCUUCUGCUGGCAGUGGAGUGGCAUCAGAUCGAGUGGAGGGUGGUAGAACUAGUGCGCCAGUAAAUAUCCUGAAGCCACGGUGUAGCAACCCUUUUUCUCCCUUGGCCAGGUAACUGAAUCAUCCCCUUCCCCAAUUUCAGUUUGUAAAAUAUUAUGUGCAAUAUCUGUACUGAAUUGUUCUGCAAUGAGCUGUUGGUUCCAUUGCUUGUUUUCGUUUAGGAGUUGAUUAACCCAAAUUAGUUGUGAGUUAGUAGGAAUUAACAUCUGAGUAGAUAAUGCUUGUUGAUUUUUGAUCCAAGAGUCCUCCAUUUACAUAUGGGUAAAUACCAAUCUACCAUGUUAUAUGUAUAAAUUUAACUGGCUACACAUUAAUCCAAACUAUGUUGAAGCUCUCUAGUGUGAAUUUUCCUUUAUACUUUGAUUUGUAUUUGGCCCCUUUGGAAUCAAUUGUGAGACACUAGAGUACUUCUCAACUAAUUUGGUUUCUUGUUGAACCCAUACUCACUAGAUUUUAAACUUCAAAAAUCACUUCAUCUUAAACGGAUGAAAUAUUGCUGUUGCUAUAAACUUUGCAAAGCCAAUCUUUGCAUUAUAAUUUGGUUCUCAUUUAUAUACUUCCAUUCUAACUUUGUGUGGUGCGUGCUGCAUAAAACAGUUUUAGACUUAAGCAAACAGUACUCCAAAUAAACAUUUGAUACUGCAAAGGGAAUAAUUUUGCUUUAUGGUGAGAGUAUAUGAUAUACAAUGUGUUUUGGAUAUUGCAAGUUCAUCAAGAGUUGUUUGAGACUCUACAGAAAGGGAAAAUUUUAAUAUAGUUAACCAAUUCUUUGUUCAUUUUCACUGACAUACAAAAUGGGAGCUCAAGUUGAAUAGUAUAUUUUAUUUUUUAUUUUUUUUUUCAGUUUUCGUUAUGCAAUCCACAAUGCAGUUCUUUUCAGGUUUUACCAUUUGUAGGGAAUUUA